UAGGUGAACCUGCGGAAGGAUCAUUAUUGAAAUAAACCUGAUGAGUUGCUGCUGGUUCUCUAGGGAGCAUGUGCACACUUGUCGUCUUUAUAUUUCCACCUUGUGCACCUUUUGUAGACCUGGAUAUCUCUCUGAAUGCACACAAGCAUUUGGGUUUGAGGGGUUGACUUUUUUGGUCUCCCUUUAUAUUUCCAGGCCUAUGUUUCUUUCAUAUACCCCACUUGUGUUAUAGAAUGUAAUAAAAUGGGCCUUUGUGCCUGUAAAGCUAUACAACUUUCAGCAACGGAUCUCUUGGCUCUCGCAUCGAUGAAGAACGCAGCGAAAUGCGAUAAGUAAUGUGAAUUGCAGAAUUCAGUGAAUCAUCGAAUCUUUGAACGCACCUUGCGCUCCUUGGUAUUCCGAGGAGCAUGCCUGUUUGAGUGUCAUUAAUAUAUCAACCUCCUCAACUUGUGUUGAGUGUUGGAUGUGGGGGUUCUUUCUUUGCUGGCUUCACGGUCAGCUCCCCUGAAAUGCAUUAGCGGAACAACCUGUUCACUGUUCAUUGGCGUGAUAACUAUCUACGCUGCUUGUUGACAGUGAAGCAAGUUCAGCUUCUAACAGUCCAUUAAAUUGGACAAAUUUUUAUUAAUGUGACCUCAAAUCAGGUA
Molecule: ribosomal RNA, 647 nt
Filed under: uncultured fungus
Lineage: Eukaryota; Fungi
Description: eukaryotic LSU rRNA
Rfam family: 5.8S ribosomal RNA (bases 272-425)
Source: RNAcentral